This 526-nucleotide ribosomal RNA is filed under the name Hyperolius substriatus (coastal reed frog). RNAcentral describes it as "partial small subunit ribosomal RNA". It matches the Rfam family "Bacterial large subunit ribosomal RNA", at positions 1856 to 2606 of the family's 2925-position model. The record is from RNAcentral. Lineage: Eukaryota; Metazoa; Chordata; Amphibia; Anura; Hyperoliidae.
UGCCUGCCCGUGAUUUAUUUAACGGCCGCGGUACCUAACCGUGCAAGGUAGAUAAUCAAUUGUCCCUUAAAUUAGGACUAGUAUGAACGGCAUCACGAGGGUUAAACUGUCUCCCCCCUUAAAUCAAUGAAAUUAAUUUUCCCGUGAAGAAGCGGGGAUAAAAUUAUAAGACGAAAAGACCCCAUGGAGCUUUAAGCUUAUUACCAUUUAUCUAAUUAUAUAACAAAUUAAUAGUAAAAGUGUUUAAUAGCUUUCGGUUGGGGCGACCCUGGAGAAAAAUAAAUCCUCCAGAUUGAAAAAAUAAUCCUUAUAUAAGAACUACAAUUCAAAUAAACAAAAACUUGACAAAACUGACCCAGAAUUAACUGAUCAGUGAACCAAGUUACCCUGGGGAUAACAGCGCAAUCCAUUUCAAGAGUCCAUAUCGACAAAUGGGUUUACGACCUCGAUGUUGGAUCGGGGUAUCCUAGCAGAGCAGCUGUUGCUAACGGUUCGUUUGUUCAACGAUUAACACCCCACGUGAUCU